RNAcentral lists this ribosomal RNA (503 nucleotides) under uncultured bacterium. RNAcentral's name for it is "partial 16S ribosomal RNA". It matches the Rfam family "Bacterial small subunit ribosomal RNA", at positions 899 to 1397 of the family's 1533-position model. The record is from RNAcentral.
ACUCAAAUGAAUUGACGGGGGUCCGCACAAGCGGUGGAACAUGUGGUUUAAUUCGACACUACGCGAGGAACCUUACCUGGACUUGACAUGCUCUGAUCGCCAUAGAGAUAUGGUUUUUUAAGCUUCGGUUUAAACAGAUGCACAGGUGCUGCAUGGCUGUCGUCAGCUCGUGUCGUGAGAUGUUAGGUUAAGUCCUCUAACGAGCGCAACCCUUGCCAUCAGUUGCUAACUACUUUGUAGUGCACUCUGAUGGGACUGCCUGGGAAACCAGGAGGAAGGUGGGGACGACGUCAAGUCAUCAUGGUCCUUAUGUCCAGGGCUACACACGUGUUACAAUGGUCGGUACAAAGGGUAGCAAUUCCGUAAGGAGGAGCCAAUCUCAGAAAGCCGAUCUAAGUUCGGAUUGAGGUCUGCAACUCGACCUCAUGAAGUUGAAAUCGCUAGUAAUCGCGCAUCAGAACGGCGCGGUGAAUACGUUCUCGGACCUUGUACACACCGCCCGU